UAGAGUGAUUGAUGGAAAAGAAAAAGGGAAGAAGAGUGAAAGGAAGGUGUGAAUAUAUAUCAUUGAUUUAGAAGUAUAGGAAAGGGUUGAUACAUCAGUGACCACAAAGAUAGAAAUGAACUAACUACAAGAGCUAAUCAAUUAAAGGAAGGAAUAUGUCGUCGAUCGAAGAGUGUAAUGAUAAAAUAGCCAAUGAUACAAAUUAUAAUAACACAACUAAAAUUUAUCACAUACAUAUUCAAAAGCCGAUAACACAUGCUUACCGAAAAGCCAAAGACAUCCAAACGUAAAAGCCAAUAACAUGCAUAGACAAAAGACAAUAUCACACAUACAAUAAAAGUUUUAAACAUAGAAGCUAACCUUCUUAGCAGAUUCAAACAGCAAUGGAGGGAAUUGGAGGACUGCACGCCCAAAAAUAUAGGCAGAAAACGGUCAAAAACGUCGCCCAAGAACACGUCACAAACUGCAUUAAUUACGAAGUUGCCACCGGUCAUCAUUUUACGUCAGUUGACGGAACAACCAACGUCUAUGUGGUGAUGUUAAAUAGCGUUUUUCCACUAGUGUAGAUUGUAUUUUCUUUUAUAAUUCUAUGUGUCUUGUCAUUUAUAUUCAUUUUGAGUUUAUCUUUUCAAAAUGAGAUUUUGUUGUUUUAUUCUUUAAAAUUAUCAUUUCGCAUCC
This 678-nucleotide long non-coding RNA is filed under the name Vigna radiata. RNAcentral describes it as "long non-coding RNA (VRAD_LNC006356)". The record is from RNAcentral. Lineage: Eukaryota; Viridiplantae; Streptophyta; Magnoliopsida; Fabales; Fabaceae.